Fukomys damarensis (Damara mole-rat) is the source of this 80-nucleotide non-coding RNA. The record is from Ensembl. Lineage: Eukaryota; Metazoa; Chordata; Mammalia; Rodentia; Bathyergidae.
UGGCCCAUGAUGACUAGACCACUGCGCAAUCUGAGUUCUGGGAACCAGGUGAUGGAGUGUGUUGUAACAGACUGAGGCCG